This 305-nucleotide long non-coding RNA is filed under the name Elaeis guineensis (African oil palm). Its description in RNAcentral is "long non-coding RNA (EGUI_LNC079879)". Lineage: Eukaryota; Viridiplantae; Streptophyta; Magnoliopsida; Arecales; Arecaceae. The record is from RNAcentral.
CAGGUGGAUUUUUGCACCGACAGGAUUGGCGCUAGAGGAAGGGUUGAACCUUCACAGUACCCUUGUUCUUAAAGGAGCGCUCAAUGGGACCGCCUCCGGUCAUCUUUUUCAAUGUCCUCUCCUCCUUCCCCCACUAGGUCUUCGCCCGAUGCCUCCCCGCAAAGCAUCCACACGGUGAUCCACGACCUCCGCGGCCAGAUCUCAGGCUCCGGCCUCACCUCCAGUUUUCCAGCCUCCUCCCCCUUCUCCAGCAACGGUGGUUGGUGAGGAGCAAUUCGACCUACUAGUGCAGCAGGUCAGAGGCC